CUACGGGAGGCAGCAGUGGGGAAUAUUGCACAAUGGGGGAAACCCUGAUGCAGCGACGCCGCGUGAGCGAAGAAGUAUUUCGGUAUGUAAAGCUCUAUCAGCAGGGAAGAAGAAAUGACGGUACCUGACUAAGAAGCCCCGGCUAACUACGUGCCAGCAGCCGCGGUAAUACGUAGGGGGCAAGCGUUAUCCGGAUUUACUGGGUGUAAAGGGAGCGUAGGCGGCAUGGCAAGUCUGAUGUGAAAACCCAGGGCUCAACCUUGGGACUGCAUUGGAAACUGUCAAGCUGGAGUGUCGGAGAGGUAAGCGGAAUUCCUAGUGUAGCGGUGAAAUGCGUAGAUAUUAGGAGGAACACCAGUGGCGAAGGCGGCUUACUGGACGAUGACUGACGCUGAGGCUCGAAAGCGUGGGGAGCAAACAGGAUUAGAAACCCUGGUAGUCC
RNAcentral lists this ribosomal RNA (442 nucleotides) under uncultured bacterium. RNAcentral describes it as "bacterial SSU rRNA". It matches the Rfam family "Bacterial small subunit ribosomal RNA", at positions 339 to 796 of the family's 1533-position model. The record is from RNAcentral.